RNAcentral lists this ribosomal RNA (253 nucleotides) under uncultured bacterium. RNAcentral's name for it is "partial 16S ribosomal RNA". It matches the Rfam family "Bacterial small subunit ribosomal RNA", at positions 524 to 776 of the family's 1533-position model. The record is from RNAcentral.
GACGUAGGGCGCGAGCGUUGUCCGGAAUUAUUGGGCGUAAAGAGCUCGUAGGCGGCUUGUCGCGUCGACUGUGAAAACCCGCGGCUCAACCGCGGGCCUGCAGCCGAUACGGGCAGACUAGAGUGCGGUAGGGGAGAUUGGAAUUCCUGGUGUAGCGGUGGAAUGCGCAGAUAUCAGGAGGAACACCGAUGGCGAAGGCAGAUCUCUGGGCCGUAACUGACGCUGAGGAGCGAAAGCAUGGGGAGCGAACAGG